This is a long non-coding RNA of Carya illinoinensis, 850 nucleotides long. RefSeq lists it as uncharacterized. The transcript is spliced from 3 exons. The record is from RefSeq and is a predicted model, not a curated record. NCBI's taxonomy places the organism in Eukaryota, Viridiplantae, Streptophyta, Magnoliopsida, Fagales, Juglandaceae.
AAACAAAACCUAACAAAACCUAACUUCUCUCCACUUCGUAGCAUUUUGGACUACCCUGGGCGAACGUCAGCCUCCCGAAUCUUCCUUUCUGGCUCAUAAAAUUUUUUUGAAUCAGUCGGCUUUUCUUCUUCUCUCCUGAGCUUCGAAUCGGGUAACAUUUUUCCAUUCCAUUUUUGAAGCAAUCGGCUAAUCUCUCCACUUCGUAGCAUCUCUUUUCUCCUGCCUUUUUAAUUUUAUGCCAACUGAAGCAUUUCUUCUCUCCUAACAAAUUUCUCCACUUCGUAGCAUUUUCCCCUGCCAUGGGUGAACCUCAACUUAUAAAGCUGCUUUUAUGUCAGUGAAAAUGGAAGGUGUGCCUACAUAGUGUGAAGUGGGGUGCCAGGAUGCAACAGGCUAGAGAUUGACACUAUCGUGUGUUCUUAGUGGGAUCACCAUGGAAAUUCCUCAUCUUCAAGAAAGCAGACAUUCUUUGUCUUCGUAUUUUCUUGCCCCAGUGAAUAUACAGUGGUUGCUGCUGCAUUGAUAGAUAAUGCUAAUGACAUCCUCAGGGCUCGAGCACGGACUGAUUCCCUUGAUGAGCGAAUUUUCUGUUGGGGACCUCCAUAUAAUGGCUGUUUUUCUGAGAAAUGUAUGACCUAAGUCUGUGUAUUGGUUUGUAAAUCGAUGUCUAGAACAUUUUCCAUCCUUUUUUUUUUUUUUUUUUGGUUCUUGUCAGAGUUUUCUUUAGAACUUAAUCAUGAAUAAAUCGCCACUUUUUGCACGUAAAAGAAAUUGAUUGUUAGAUAAUAUUAUUGUUCCAAAACCAAAUUAUCAGGAACUGUGCAAAAAUCAAUGUGACUCAUGUUGAACA